RNAcentral lists this ribosomal RNA (439 nucleotides) under uncultured Sphingobacterium sp. RNAcentral describes it as "bacterial SSU rRNA". It matches the Rfam family "Bacterial small subunit ribosomal RNA", at positions 21 to 452 of the family's 1533-position model. The record is from RNAcentral. Lineage: Bacteria; Pseudomonadati; Bacteroidota; Sphingobacteriia; Sphingobacteriales; Sphingobacteriaceae.
GGGUCAGGAUGAACGCUAGCGGCAGGCGUAAUACAUGCAAGUCGGACGGGAUCCAUCGGUAGCUUGCUACCGAUGGUGAGAGUGGCGCACGGGUGUGUAACGCGUGAGCAACCUGCCCAUAUCAGGGGGAUAGCCCGGAGAAAUCCGGAUUAACACCGCAUGACACUGCUUUCCGGCAUCGGGAGGUAGUCAAAUAUUCAUAGGAUAUGGAUGGGCUCGCGUGACAUUAGCUAGUUGGUGGGGUAACGGCCCACCAAGGAGACGAAGUCUAGGGGAUAUGAGAGGAGAAUCCCCCACACUGGUAAUGAGACACGGACCAGACUCGUACGGGAGGCAGCAGUAAGGAAUAUUGGUCAAUGGGGGCAACCCCGAACCAGCCAUGCCGCGUGCAGGACGACUGCCCUAUGGGUUGUAAACUGCUUUUGUUAGGGAAUAAACC